GACGAACGCUGGCGGCGUGCUUAACACAUGCAAGUCGAACGGAAAGGCCCUGCUUUUGUGGGGUGCUCGAGUGGCGAACGGGUGAGUAACACGUGAGUAACCUGCCCUUGACUUUGGGAUAACUUCAGGAAACUGGGGCUAAUACCGGAUAGGAGCUCCUGCUGCAUGGUGGGGGUUGGAAAGUUUCGGCGGUUGGGGAUGGACUCGCGGCUUAUCAGCUUGUUGGUUGGGUAGUGGCUUGCCAAGGCUUGGACGGGUAGCCGGCCUGAGAGGGUGACCGGGCACAAUGGGACUAAGAUACGGCCCAGACUCCUACGGGAGGCAGCAGUGGGGAAUAUUGCACAAUGGGCGGAAGCCUGAUGCAGCAACGCCGCGUGCGGGAUGACGGCCUUCGGGUUGUAAACCGCUUUCGCCUGUGACGAAGCGUGAGUGACGGUAAUGGGUAAAGAAGCACCGGCUAACUACGUG
This 468-nucleotide ribosomal RNA is filed under the name uncultured bacterium. Its description in RNAcentral is "partial 16S ribosomal RNA". It matches the Rfam family "Bacterial small subunit ribosomal RNA", at positions 28 to 507 of the family's 1533-position model. The record is from RNAcentral.